Long non-coding RNA from Pieris brassicae (large cabbage white), 967 nucleotides. RefSeq lists it as uncharacterized. The record is from RefSeq and is a predicted model, not a curated record. The transcript has 2 exons. NCBI's taxonomy places the organism in Eukaryota, Metazoa, Arthropoda, Insecta, Lepidoptera, Pieridae.
UUCAUUCUUCCCUAGCAUGUUUUCUUCACGGGGAUAUUAAAAAAUUCCACCUUUAAGACAAAAUAUUUAUACAAAUAUGGGAAAAAAUCUAAAUGAAUAUCUUAAAGAUUGAAACUCUGUGAUUUUGACAAAAAAUUACUUAUAAAUAUACAAAAACUGGAAUUGAAAAUAUUUACGUGACUCCUGGUGAACUCUUAUGUUGACGCGUAUUUAAAUAGCUGAAGUGCAUCUCUAAAUAAUGAAUCCAAGCACAUACAAACCCUUAAAAUCUUCUAUUUUCCAACAUAUUACAGAAUCUGGACAAACUAAAAAUAAUGUAAAGCUCCAUAUUGAUAAUGUAUCAAUGACGCAUAUAAAAACAGAAAAAAAAGUAACUAGUGAAGCCUCCCAAUUAGAGAAAACUGAAACAAAAAUUAACAAACAUGUCUUUGUCUUGAGUAACAAGCUUAUUCUUUUAAUUGUAGUUGCAUUUGUAUUGUUUUUUAGUAUUUAUUCCAAACAUAAAGUUAAUGAAUAUAAUAAAAUAAAAGACCUUAAUAAUAUGUUAAUGAAAAUGAAAUCAAUGUUUGCAUCUUUAUAUGAAAUGGAUGAAAAAGUGGCAAAGGGAAUACAUCAUGUAGAAAACUCUUAUAAUGUUUAUCAGAAUAGCUUUUCAUAUAAUGAAAUGACUGAAUCUCAAACAAAUAUUUAAAAAUGUAAUAUGUUUCAUAUAGCAAAAUAAUAUUUGUUUUACUGUGAGCGAAUCUAUUUUAAAAUGAAUAAUGUAACUUCGUGUUGAAUUGUUGUAUUAUUUUUGUUUUGUAUUUGUAAAUACCUAUUAAAUAAAAACAUGUUCUCGUAUUGAAAAGACUGCUUAAAAUAUUUAUUAGUUCUUAUUUAGCUUAGACAAGUUUCGAUGACUUCCUCUACAAGCUUGCUUCGUUUCUUGGCAACUUGAAGUAAAUUUUUCUGGCUUUCUGUUGGUAUA